GGACCCGCACAAGUGGUGGAGCAUGUUGCUUAAUUCGACAAUACACGUAGAACCUUACCUAGGCUUGACAUCUCCUGCAAAGCUAUAGAGAUAUAGUGGAGGUUAACAGGAUGACAGGUGGUGCAUGGUUGUCGUCAGCUCGUGUCGUGAGAUGUUGGGUUAAGUCCCGCAACGAGCGCAACCCCUAUUGCUAGUUAAUUUAUCUAGCGAAACUGCCAGCGUAAGCUGGAGGAAGGUGGGGAGGACGUCAAAUCAUCAUGCCCUUUAUGCCUAGGGCUGCAAACGUGCUACAAUGGUCGGUACAAAGUGUUACUAAAUCGCAAGGUCAUGUUAAUCACAUAAAGCCGAUCUCAGUUCGGAUUGAAGGCUGCAAUUCGCUUCAUGAAGUUGGAAUCACUAGUAAUCGCGAAUCAGACAUGUCG
RNAcentral lists this ribosomal RNA (422 nucleotides) under uncultured Mycoplasmatota bacterium. Its description in RNAcentral is "bacterial SSU rRNA". It matches the Rfam family "Bacterial small subunit ribosomal RNA", at positions 917 to 1359 of the family's 1533-position model. The record is from RNAcentral. Lineage: Bacteria; Bacillati; Mycoplasmatota.